AUUGAACGCUGGCGGAAUGCUUUACACAUGCGAGUCGAACGGCAGCACGGACUUCGGUCUGGUGGCGAGUGGCGAACGGGUGAGUAAUGUAUCGGAACGUGCCCAGUCGUGGGGGAUAACGUAGUGAAAAUUACGCUAAUACCGCAUACGAUCUAUGGAUGAAAGCGGGGGAUCGCAAGACCUCGCGCGAUUGUCGCGGCCGAUAUCAGAUUAGGGAGUUGGUGGGGGAAAGGCCCACCUAGCCAACGAUCUGUAGCUGGUCUGAGAGGACGACCAGCCACACUUGAACUGAGACACGGUCCAGACUCCUACGGGAGGCAGCAGUGGGGAAUUUUGGACAAUGGGCGAAAGCCUGAUCCAGCCAUUCCGCGUGCAGGAUGAAGGCCCUCGGGUUGUAAACUGCUUUUGUACAGAACGAAAAGGUUUCUACUAAUACUAGGAGCUCAUGACGGUACUGUAAGAAUAAGCACCGGCUAACUACGUGCCAGCCGCCGCGGUAA
RNAcentral lists this ribosomal RNA (500 nucleotides) under uncultured bacterium. RNAcentral describes it as "partial 16S ribosomal RNA". It matches the Rfam family "Bacterial small subunit ribosomal RNA", at positions 30 to 523 of the family's 1533-position model. The record is from RNAcentral.